GCAAGUAUCUGCGCCCCAGUGAGCAUGCCCUGGACACCUUAUAGGUAGAUAGGAGCGGACAUCAGGCACACCCUACCCCCGUAGCCCAAGACGUCUAGCAAUUGCCACGCCCCCACGGGUCCUCAGCAGUAGUUAACAUUAAGCCAUGAGUGAAAACUUGACUUAGCCAUAGCAAAUCAGGGACGGUAAAUCCUGUGCCAGCCACCGCGGUCACACAGGAGGCCCAAAUCAACGUUAUAACGGCGUAAAGCGUGGUACUAUGCUAUCCAAGUAACUAAGAUUAAAAAGCAACUGAGCUGUCGCAAGCCCAAGAUGCCCAUAAGGCCGCUAUUCAAAGAAAAUCUUAGACUAACGAUUGAUUGAAAUCCACGAAAGCCAGGGCCCAAACUGGGAUUAGAUACCCCACUAUGCCUGGCCGUAAAUCUUGAUGCUCGAUCUUACCGGAGCAUCCGCCCGAGAACUACGAGCACUAACGCUUAAAACUCUAAGGACUUGGCGGUGUCCCAAACCCACCUAGAGGAGCCUGUUCUGUAAUCGAUGAUCCACGAUACACCUGACCAUUCCUUGCCAAAAUCAGCCUACAUACCGCCGUCUCCAGCCCACCCAACAUGAAGGCCCAACAGUGGACGCAAUAGCCUUACCCCGCUAGUAAGACAGGUCAAGGUAUAGCCUAUGGAAUGGGAGUAAUGGGCUACAUUUUCUAAGAUAGAACAUUACGGCAAAGGGAUGUGAAAUCAUCCUUGGAAGGCGGAUUUAGCAGUAAAGUGGGACAAUCGAGCCCUCUUUAAGCCGGCCCUGGGGCACGUACAUACCGCCCGUCGCCCUCCUCAAAAGCGA
RNAcentral lists this ribosomal RNA (837 nucleotides) under Baeopogon indicator. RNAcentral describes it as "partial 12S ribosomal RNA". It matches the Rfam family "Bacterial small subunit ribosomal RNA", at positions 188 to 1415 of the family's 1533-position model. The record is from RNAcentral. Lineage: Eukaryota; Metazoa; Chordata; Aves; Passeriformes; Pycnonotidae.